ACCCAGUUGCCGAGUCCUAAAUGGGACGAAACGCGCGUCAAACUGGAU
Molecule: non-coding RNA, 48 nt
Filed under: Schistosoma margrebowiei
Lineage: Eukaryota; Metazoa; Platyhelminthes; Trematoda; Strigeidida; Schistosomatidae
Source: RNAcentral